GGAAGGAUCAUUACCGUUUCUUGCCGGCCCACGCCGCGGGAGGGUCUUUUAUACUGUGUGACGGCCUAACCCGCCGGACGCAUAUAUGUAUACGUAGGCCCGAACGCGGGAGUGGGCGGCACAACCAACCCCGCGAAGCUGUCUUUUAUUGCUCACAAUUAUACGAAGCCGGGC
RNAcentral lists this unclassified non-coding RNA (174 nucleotides) under Cladostephus hirsutus. RNAcentral's name for it is "Cladostephus hirsutum sequence contains 18S rRNA gene, ITS1". The record is from RNAcentral. Lineage: Eukaryota; Phaeophyceae; Sphacelariales; Cladostephaceae.